Molecule: ribosomal RNA, 469 nt
Filed under: uncultured Anaerolineaceae bacterium
Lineage: Bacteria; Bacillati; Chloroflexota; Anaerolineae; Anaerolineales; Anaerolineaceae
Description: bacterial SSU rRNA
Rfam family: Bacterial small subunit ribosomal RNA
Source: RNAcentral
AACUCAAAGGAAUUGACGGGGACCCGCACAAGCAGCGGAGCGUGUGGUUUAAUUCGUUGCUACACGAAGAACCUUACCUGGGUUUGACAUAUAGGUUGUAGGGAACUGAAAGGGACCGACCCUUCGGGGAGCCUAUACAGGUGUUGCAUGGCUGUCGUCAGCUCGUGUCGUGAGAUGUUCGGUUAAGUCCGCUAACGAGCGCAACCCUCGUCGUAUGUUAUAUGUGUCAUACGAGACUGCCGGUAAAAGCCGGAGGAAGGUGAGGAUGAUGUCAAGUCAGCAUGACCUUUAUAUCCAGGGCUACACACACGCUACAAUGGUCUGUACAGUGGGUAGCCAAGCCGCGAGGCGGAGCCAAUCCUGAAAGCAGGCCUCAGUUCAGAUUGCAGUCUGCAACUCGACUGCAUGAAGCCGGAGUUGCUAGUAACCGCAGGUCAGCAAUACUGCGGUGAAUACGUUCCCGGGUCUU